This 154-nucleotide non-coding RNA is filed under the name Formicincola oecophyllae. Its description in RNAcentral is "6S / SsrS RNA". It matches the Rfam family "6S / SsrS RNA". Rfam says of the family: E. coli 6S RNA was the first non coding RNA to be sequenced, but its function was unknown until recently. It consists of 184 nucleotides that fold into an extended hairpin structure with a large single-stranded internal bulge. Lineage: Bacteria; Pseudomonadati; Pseudomonadota; Alphaproteobacteria; Acetobacterales; Acetobacteraceae. The record is from Rfam by way of RNAcentral.
GCGGGGCUGCCCGGUGCGUCAGGCUACGAAACCCCCGGGCCGUAAGCACAUCCCAGGGAGCUGGCUCUGUCGUGACUUUGGUCAUGUUAUCCGGCACCCACCUGACUAGUCAGGUCUGGGAGGUUCACACGCCAACGGCCAGGGCGGCCCCGCU